UGAUAAGUAACUUCAAGAUAUGUAAAAGUCAUAUUUUCAAAAUAUGUUUUCUCCCUUAGUUUUACUAAAUUUGACUAUGUUUUUCAACACAAACUUGUAAGACAAUGUGAUAUGCUUUGACUAGUUAUUAUUGUUUGUUUCCAUCUCUUAAGUAUUAUUGUUAUAGACACCAAUGAUGAUUAUUGUUAUGAGUUGGAAGAAGGGUUAAAAUGCUUCUUAAAAUGUUGUAUCAAUAUGAGGCUACCAACAUUCUUGUUUAUUAAGAUGAGAAGAAGGCCAUUGGAGUUUAUUAUUGCAUAUGGGAGAUCCAAAGAUAAGAAAAAGGCUAUUGAUGUAUAUUAUUUCAUUGAUUUGUAAAUGUGUAAACACAUUGUUAGCACAUAUAUUACAUCUUGAACUCCAUUUGAUAUGGAAGAAGACUUCGUCAGAACACUUCUUGGAAGUCGUCUGGAAGACUUCCUGGAAGUCGUCUAGCGUAUUAUAUUUUAGACGACUAACAGGUAAGUCGUCCCAGAAGUCUUUCAGAUCUGAAAAACCUGCAU
This 542-nucleotide long non-coding RNA is filed under the name Brassica napus (rape). RNAcentral's name for it is "long non-coding RNA (BNAP_LNC000625)". Lineage: Eukaryota; Viridiplantae; Streptophyta; Magnoliopsida; Brassicales; Brassicaceae. The record is from RNAcentral.